This 384-nucleotide ribosomal RNA is filed under the name Serratia marcescens. Its description in RNAcentral is "bacterial SSU rRNA". It matches the Rfam family "Bacterial small subunit ribosomal RNA", at positions 87 to 474 of the family's 1533-position model. RNAcentral also lists the same sequence under 1 other name. Lineage: Bacteria; Pseudomonadati; Pseudomonadota; Gammaproteobacteria; Enterobacterales; Yersiniaceae. The record is from RNAcentral.
GGUGACGAGCGGCGGACGGGUGAGUAAUGUCUGGGAAACUGCCUGAUGGAGGGGGAUAACUACUGGAAACGGUAGCUAAUACCGCAUAACGUCGCAAGACCAAAGAGGGGGACCUUCGGGCCUCUUGCCAUCAGAUGUGCCCAGAUGGGAUUAGCUAGUAGGUGGGGUAAUGGCUCACCUAGGCGACGAUCCCUAGCUGGUCUGAGAGGAUGACCAGCCACACUGGAACUGAGACACGGUCCAGACUCCUACGGGAGGCAGCAGUGGGGAAUAUUGCACAAUGGGCGCAAGCCUGAUGCAGCCAUGCCGCGUGUGUGAAGAAGGCCUUCGGGUUGUAAAGCACUUUCAGCGAGGAGGAAGGUGGUGAACUUAAUACGUUCAUCA